AGCACAGAUGAAACGACCAACAAGGCGGUUGUGUGUGCAGGAGUUCCAGACAAAUCUGAUAAAUUCAAGCAAUUGGACGUUACUGAGUGGCUUACUACUGCAUUGGGUCCUCUGAAAGGGAGAUGCGGGAAAGGGAAAAGUGGUCUUGCAUCUGGACAGGGAACGGAUGCCUCUCAAGUGAACGCAGCUUUGGAUCUGGCUGCAUCAUUUGCAUCACUGAAACUCAACUGAUUGAUGUGGAGGUGAUUACAGAAUCUGUGUGGUCUGAACAACCUCUACUCAUUUGAUACCAUUGUAUACCGUUUUACUCAUUUUAAGAUCUACUGUUUUCUCAUUUCUUGUGUCGAAUUCGUGGUACUUCUUAGUCAGUCAAAGUUGGCAAUUGGUGGUACC
Molecule: long non-coding RNA, 393 nt
Organism: Brassica oleracea var. oleracea
Lineage: Eukaryota; Viridiplantae; Streptophyta; Magnoliopsida; Brassicales; Brassicaceae
Exons: 2
Source: RefSeq, a predicted model, not a curated record